This 573-nucleotide ribosomal RNA is filed under the name uncultured bacterium. RNAcentral's name for it is "bacterial SSU rRNA". It matches the Rfam family "Bacterial small subunit ribosomal RNA", at positions 338 to 916 of the family's 1533-position model. The record is from RNAcentral.
CCUACGGGAGGCAGCAGGUGGGGAAUAUUGCACAAUGGGCGCAAGCCUGAUGCAGCAACGCCGCGUGAGGGACGACGGCCUUCGGGUUGUAAACCUCUUUUAGUAGGGAAGAAGCGAAAGUGACGGUACCUGCAAGAAAAAGCACCGGCUAACUACGUGCCAGCAGCCGCGGUAAUACGUAGGGUGCAAGCGUUAUCCGGAAUUAUUGGGCGUAAAGAGCUCGUAGGCGGUUUGUCACGUCUGCUGUAGAAAACUGGAGGCUCAACCUCCAGCCUGCAGUGGGUACGGGCAGACUAGAGUGCGGUAGGGGAGAUUGGAAUUCCUGGUGUAGCGGUGGAAUGCGCAGAUAUCAGGAGGAACACCGAUGGCGAAGGCAGAUCUCUGGGCCGUAACUGACGCUGAGGAGCGAAAGCAGUGGGGAGCGAACAGGAUUAGAUACCCUGGUAGUCCAUGCCGUAAACGUUGGGAACUAGAUGUAGGGACCAUUCCACGGUUUCUGUGUCGCAGCUAACGCAUUAACGUCCCCGCGUGGGGAGUACCGGCCGCAAGGCUAAAACUCAAAGGAAUUGACGG